AUACCUUUCUCGGCCUUUUGGCUAAGAUCAAGUGUAGUAUCUGUUCUUAUCAGUUUAAUAUCUGAUAUGUGGGCCAUUGGCUCACACGAUAUUAAAUUUAUUUUUUUAGGGGGAAGAUCCAUUAAGGCAGCUUGCUGUCUGGGUCUUUGAGCGUUGCCCAUGUGUUGCACUACUGCACGGGCCUGGCGCACCCCAC
This 196-nucleotide small nuclear RNA is filed under the name Erythranthe guttata (spotted monkey flower). RNAcentral describes it as "Mimulus guttatus (spotted monkey flower) U2 spliceosomal RNA". It matches the Rfam family "U2 spliceosomal RNA". Rfam says of the family: U2 is a small nuclear RNA (snRNA) component of the spliceosome (involved in pre-mRNA splicing). The record is from Rfam by way of RNAcentral. Lineage: Eukaryota; Viridiplantae; Streptophyta; Magnoliopsida; Lamiales; Phrymaceae.